CCUACGGGUGGCAGCAGUGAGGAAUAUUGGUCAAUGGUCGCGAGCCUGAACCAGCCAAGCCGCGUGAGGGAUGAAGGUCCAAAGUAUCGUAAACCUCUUUUGUCAGGGAACAAAGGCGGGGACGUGUCCCCUGAUGAGUGUACCUGAAGAAAAAGCAUCGGCUAACUCCGUGCCAGCAGCCGCGGUAAUACGGAGGAUGCGAGCGUUAUCCGGAUGUAUUGGGUUUAAAGGGUGCGCAGGCGGUCUGUUAAGUCAGCGGUAAAAGAGCGGGGCUCAACCCCGUCCAGCCGUUGAAACUGGCAGUCUUGAGUUGGAGAGAAGUAUGCGGAAGGCGCGGUGUAGCGGGGAAAUGCAUAGAUAUUGCGCAGAACUCCGAUUGCGAAGGCAGCAUGCCGGCGCCACACUGACGCUGAGGCACGAAAGCGUGGGUAUCGAACAGGAUUAGAUACCCUUGUAGUC
This 459-nucleotide ribosomal RNA is filed under the name uncultured bacterium. RNAcentral's name for it is "partial 16S ribosomal RNA". It matches the Rfam family "Bacterial small subunit ribosomal RNA", at positions 338 to 795 of the family's 1533-position model. The record is from RNAcentral.